GGAUAACUCUCCGAAAGGAGAGCUAAUACAGCAUGAGACCACGGCUUCGUUGAAGCUGCGGCCAAAGCAGGCCUCUACAUGUAAGCUUGCGCUUGAGGAUGAGUCUGCGGCCCAUCAGCUAGUUGGUAGGGUAAUGGCCUACCAAGGCCAAGACGGGUAGCUGGUCUGAGAGGAUGAACAGCCACACUGGAACUGAGGCACGGUCCAGACUCCUACGGGAGGCAGCAGUGGGGAAUCUUGCGCAAUGGGCGAAAGCCUGACGCAGCGACGCCGCGUGAGCGAUGAAGGCCUUCGGGUUGUAAAGCUCUGUGGGGAGGAAAGAAUAAGGCUUGGCUAAUAUCCAAGCUGAUGACGGUCCUCUUAGCAAGCACCGGCUAACUCUGUGCCAGCAGCCCGCGGUAAGACAGA
Molecule: ribosomal RNA, 408 nt
Filed under: uncultured delta proteobacterium
Lineage: Bacteria; Deltaproteobacteria
Description: bacterial SSU rRNA
Rfam family: Bacterial small subunit ribosomal RNA
Source: RNAcentral